AGGACGUGUGGUUGAUCAUUAUAGAAGCUCUUUAUCUUCUAAGAUGACAGAAGCACUAAUUUGUAGCCAAAAUUGGCUACAACCAGGGCUAUCAAUGUCUGAAUUUGUUGACAAGCUUCGGGAGUUUGAUAAUUUUGAUGAAACAGAACAUGUCCUUCAACUUGCUAAUUCUGCUACACCUGGAGCUGGAGGGGAGAAUUUAAUGGCUAUUGGUAAUUGAAGGGUCAUUUUAUAAACAUGACUAGUUAAGCUGGCAAGGUGUUCCAUCCUUUUUGGGAAAUUAUGGAGAUUGAUGCAAACUGUUCAAUUUUCUAGGCUCCAAUUACAAUAUUGAAUCUUGUUUUGAAUGGAUUAUUGAUGUUAUUCAAUUGGAUAUUUGUUAAGACUUAUUUUGGACUAUUUCUGAAUGAUUUUGGUGUGUUAAAAUGUAGAAUUAUGUAAUGUGAUUUUCAGAUAUGGAUGGAGUUGUUUUUU
Molecule: long non-coding RNA, 474 nt
Organism: Neltuma alba
Lineage: Eukaryota; Viridiplantae; Streptophyta; Magnoliopsida; Fabales; Fabaceae
Exons: 3
Source: RefSeq, a predicted model, not a curated record